AGCAGCAGCCACGGGAAUACGUAGGGUGCAAGCGUUAAUCGGAAUUACUGGGCGUAAAGCGUGCGCAGGCGGUUAUAUAAGACAGAUGUGAAAUCCCCGGGCUCAACCUGGGAACUGCAUUUGUGACUGUAUAGCUAGAGUACGGCAGAGGGGGAUGGAAUUCCGCGUGUAGCAGUGAAAUGCGUAGAUAUGCGGAGGAACACCGAUGGCGAAGGCAAUCCCCUGGGCCUGUACUGACGCUCAUGCACGAAAGCGUGGGGAGCAAACAGGAUUAGAUACCCGCGUAGUCCCUGUCUCUUAUAC
Molecule: ribosomal RNA, 303 nt
Filed under: uncultured bacterium
Lineage: Bacteria
Description: partial 16S ribosomal RNA
Rfam family: Bacterial small subunit ribosomal RNA
Source: RNAcentral